RNAcentral lists this ribosomal RNA (851 nucleotides) under uncultured bacterium. Its description in RNAcentral is "bacterial SSU rRNA". It matches the Rfam family "Bacterial small subunit ribosomal RNA", at positions 31 to 896 of the family's 1533-position model. The record is from RNAcentral.
GAACGCUGGCGGCGUGCUUAACACUUGCAAGUCGAACGGAAAGGCCUCUUCGGAGGUACUCGAGUGGCGAACGGGUGAGUAACACGUGGGUGAUCUGCCCUGCACUCUGGGAUAAGCCUGGGAAACUGGGUCUAAUACCGGAUAGGACCAUGCUUUAGUGUGUGUGGUGGAAAGUUUUUCGGUGUAGGAUGAGCCCGCGGCCUAUCAGCUUGUUGGUGGGGUAAUGGCCUACCAAGGCGGCGACGGGUAGCCGGACUGAGAGGUUGGUCGGCCACAUUGGGACUGAGAUACGGCCCAGACUCCUACGGGAGGCAGCAGUGGGGAAUAUUGCACAAUGGGCGCAAGCCUGAUGCAGCGACGCCGCGUGGGGGAUGACGGCCUUCGGGUUGUAAACUCCUUUCGCCAGGGACGAAGCGUUUUGUGACGGUACCUGGAGAAGAAGCACCGGCUAACUACGCGCCAGCAGCCGCGGUAAUACGUAGGGUGCAAGCGUUGUCCGGAAUUACUGGGCGUAAAGAGCUCGUAGGUGGUUUGUCACGUCGUCUGUGAAAUUCCACAGCUUAACUGUGGGCGUGCAGGCGAUACGGGCUGACUUGAGUACUGUAGGGGUAACUGGAAUUCCUGGUGUAGCGGUGAAAUGCGCAGAUAUCAGGAGGAACACCGAUGGCGAAGGCAGGUUACUGGGCAGUUACUGACGCUGAGGAGCGAAAGCAUGGGUAGCAAACAGGAUUAGAUACCCUGGUAGUCCAUGCCGUAAACGGUGGGCGCUAGGUGUAGGGACCUUUUGGGGUUUCUGUGCCGUAGCUAACGCAUUAAGGCGCCCCGCCUGGGGGAGUACGGCCGCAAGGCUA